This 555-nucleotide ribosomal RNA is filed under the name Mycobacterium haemophilum. RNAcentral describes it as "bacterial SSU rRNA". It matches the Rfam family "Bacterial small subunit ribosomal RNA", at positions 44 to 601 of the family's 1533-position model. The record is from RNAcentral. Lineage: Bacteria; Bacillati; Actinomycetota; Actinomycetes; Mycobacteriales; Mycobacteriaceae.
GUGCUUAACACAUGCAAGUCGAACGGAAAGGUCUCUUCGGAGAUACUCGAGUGGCGAACGGGUGAGUAACACGUGGGUAAUCUGCCCUGCACUUCGGGAUAAGCCUGGGAAACUGGGUCUAAUACCGGAUAGGACCUCAAGGCGCAUGCCUUUGUGGUGGAAAGCUUUUGCGGUGUGGGAUGGGCCCGCGGCCUAUCAGCUUGUUGGUGGGGUGACGGCCUACCAAGGCGACGACGGGUAGCCGGCCUGAGAGGGUGUCCGGCCACACUGGGACUGAGAUACGGCCCAGACUCCUACGGGAGGCAGCAGUGGGGAAUAUUGCACAAUGGGCGCAAGCCUGAUGCAGCGACGCCGCGUGGGGGAUGACGGCCUUCGGGUUGUAAACCUCUUUCACCAUCGACGAAGGUUCGGGUUUUCUCGGAUUGACGGUAGGUGGAGAAGAAGCACCGGCCAACUACGUGCCAGCAGCCGCGGUAAUACGUAGGGUGCGAGCGUUGUCCGGAAUUACUGGGCGUAAAGAGCUCGUAGGUGGUUUGUCGCGUUGUUCGUGAAAUC